UACGUAGGUCCCGAGCGUUGUCCGGAUUUAUUGGGCGUAAAGCGAGCGCAGGUGGUUUAUUAAGUCUGGUGUAAAAGGCAGUGGCUCAACCAUUGUAUGCAUUGGAAACUGGUAGACUUGAGUGCAGGAGAGGAGAGUGGAAUUCCAUGUGUAGCGGUGAAAUGCGUAGAUAUAUGGAGGAACACCGGUGGCGAAAGCGGCUCUCUGGCCUGUAACUGACACUGAGACUCGAAAGCGUGGGGAGCAAACAGG
RNAcentral lists this ribosomal RNA (252 nucleotides) under uncultured bacterium. Its description in RNAcentral is "partial 16S ribosomal RNA". It matches the Rfam family "Bacterial small subunit ribosomal RNA", at positions 524 to 776 of the family's 1533-position model. The record is from RNAcentral.